CAGACAUCGUAGGGAAGUCCAUAAGAACGGUAAAUGUAUCCCAUGUGGACGGUGCGACAUGAAGUUUACAAGAACAGAGAAUCUUAAAAGUCAUUUUGAAGAAUGCAUAACUCGAUGGCGACCUGUCUAUUCAAAGGGUGCACUGAGGAGUUUCCUGACAAGCAUGCUAGGAAGACUCAUGAAAAAUCUAACCAGCAUGUUGAUGAUGGAACUAAGAAGAUCAAAUGCCACUUCAAGGGCUGCCCGAGAAAAUAUCCAUCGAUGCAAAAACAAAACUGGCAUUAUACGAUAUCUCAUAAGAGCCCGGGAGUCCAAUAAAGGAGAAGAUAGAGGUAUAGAUGGCCUUAUACCAAUAUGUUGGAGAGGCAGCAUUGUGGUCUGCAGAAGCCUGAAUAUUUUGUUCUUGCGCAGUAUGUUUGCACAUGUUAUAUCAAUGCGGUUGGAAGAAUCCUUACAGUGGUCUUUUGUGUAUAAAUUUCAUGUUUACCAGAAUACCAGUUGUAGGAGUACUUGCAGUAGUUUUUUGUGUACCUACAGGUCAUGAUUAGAGCAUGUGUCCAAUUUCUU
This is a long non-coding RNA of Lolium rigidum, 567 nucleotides long. RefSeq lists it as uncharacterized. The record is from RefSeq and is a predicted model, not a curated record. The transcript has 3 exons. Lineage: Eukaryota; Viridiplantae; Streptophyta; Magnoliopsida; Poales; Poaceae.